Sinocyclocheilus rhinocerous is the source of this 4106-nucleotide RNA transcript. It is a transcript of the gene named leucine-rich repeat and transmembrane domain-containing protein 2-like, with no coding region annotated. The record is from RefSeq and is a predicted model, not a curated record. NCBI's taxonomy places the organism in Eukaryota, Metazoa, Chordata, Actinopteri, Cypriniformes, Cyprinidae. The transcript is spliced from 5 exons.
CCGAGAAGGACAGCAUCUAAAGACGUCUCGUCACUGGCCCCAUAUCGCUGCCUGUGGAGGCUGGCAUCAGGGCCAGCUGAUGUCACAGCAGAUCUGAGGCAGCUGUAGUCAUAGAAGCGCAGAAAUGCAGCUCAGCACUGCACCUACAGUGGGUCGCAGGAGGAGAGGAAAUCCGGACAGCCAAGGUCUGCUAGGUGUGCUGAGUGUGUGUGCUACGUUACUGCAGUUAUGCACUGGCUGUCCUUCAGAGUGUGUGUGUAACUCACUGGAAGCUAACUGCAGUGGGCGGAGUCUAGUAUUUGUGCCCGCUCUCACUUCUCUCCCGGAGGGCACACAUACCCUCCUUCUGGCCAAUAACCGCCUCUCCUCCCUUCCCGUCUCUGCCUUCGCCAACCUAAGCACCCUGGAGACACUCGACCUGUCCAAUAACUAUUUGGACAACCUGCCUUCCAGACUGUUCCGUGAGCUGAGUAACCUGAGUGAUUUGAGUUUGCGUAACAACAGCCUGACGGUUUUGGAUCGCGAGUUAUUUCGCGGCCUGACCCUGCUGCGGAGACUGGAUCUGUCUCUGAACGGCUUGGCCGCUGUGCCGCUGGGCCUGCUGGAUGAGCUGCAAGGGCUGACUUGGCUCUCCUUGGCUGGGAACAGACUUCAUGCUCUGGAGAGAGCCACAUUUGAGCCUCUCGUCAACCUUCAGCACCUGGAGCUGGGCAUGAACCCCUGGGAGUGUGACUGCAACCUGAGAGACUUCAAACACUGGAUGGAGUGGCUAAUAUAUCGAGGCGGUUAUGUCGAUGCCGUUGAGUGUACACUUCCGAAGGACUUAAGGGGUCGUGACAUCAGGGGUGUUCCUGUGGAGAUGUUCAACUACUGUCUGCAAUUGGAAGAUGAGAAUGGGGGCGGGGCUGGGAGCACAAAGAGUGGAUCUCCACCUUGUUUUCGAGGGACAGCCGCUCCGUCAUCUGAUGGUGCAGUGGUGCGUACGCAGGCGGAGCUACCAGACUGUGUGAAGCAGCGUUAUCGGCCGGUCAGUGUUCGCAGGGCGAUCGGUACAGUAGUGAUCGCUGGUGUGGUCUGUGGAAUCGUGUGUAUUAUGAUGGUGGCUGCCGCAGCGUAUGGUUGCAUUUAUGCCUCUCUAAUGGCAAAAUACCAACGAGAGCUAAAGAAGAGGCAGCCGUUGAUGGGUGACGCAGAGGCAGAAGCCAACCCGGAGGAGAAACAUAUCUCAUCAGUUGCAUAGGGGAAUGGGGGAGAGGGGUCAGAGUUCAGAGGUCAGCCACAAAUCUAAAGAACCCUUUACUGGUUGAGCUGCUCAUUUGAUGAUCAUUUAGCUGACCAGCGGAGGAUUCAUCAUCCCUGUUUCCUGUCUCUCUGUCCUUCCUGAGACCCUCUCUAACUCUCAGACUUACACUUUACUUAAUCUAUAAACUUUGGCCUAUGACCUUUGACCUAUUUGCCCCAGGACAAGAGGGACCACUCAGCACUUUAGAACUCCCCCACCCUCCUCCAGUGUUGAGAGGAUCUCAGCAGAGGAGAGGUCAGACGUGUUUUUGUAAGACUAGAAGAAUCCAGCCCUGGUGUCUAUCGUGAAGUGUCUUGAAGUAUCGUGAAGUGCUAAUGUAGAGCAGGCUGAGGACUCUGUGAUGUUAGUGGAGGGUGGCAGAUUGUGGCUAUUGGAACUGUUAAUUACACCUUGGUGGCUAAAGAAGCACAGUGGCCCUACAGGAUAGCUGCCCUCUAAACAAAUCCAGAAAGACAAUAGCUGAGGAGGAAAUAAACCUUACCUUUAUUAAGAUAGACUUUUCUGUGCAAUAUAAAUCAAUGUCUUUGUUGAUCUGUUGUUUAAUUCUGGACUAGGAUGUCAUAUCUGAUUUAGUCUGAUCUUUUCUCUUGGGCUGGCGAUGGAAGAGAAUCGAUUGCGCCUGUGUGAUCAAUUUUCUGCUUGUGGACCAAUUUGCAUAAUCCGCUUUUCCUUGAGGGCAGAAGUUGUUUAGACUAAAUAAUUCAGAUAAAUUUGACUUGGGCUUUCAGAAGCCCACAGAUAUUCUCAAUAUAAGCUUUUCUGCAGCAAUCAACCUCAGCGACUGGAUGAAAAAAGGAAAAGGGAAAGAAAGGCUGUCAAAAACUAGCUGCACAUUGGUAACAUGAACCAACAUACUCAUUUCCUCAGUAUUACUGAAAUUUUAGAGUCCGAAUAUAAUGUUGCUAAUAAAGUCAAGAGUAACGUCAUCAUUGGGUGUCUUGCACAAUGCUGCCAUCUAUAGGAAGGAUGUGCAGUAGGCACAAGGGUGUGGAGCAAAUAUCACACCACCUCGUCAGGAUUUAGGAGAUGCUCUUCCGCUGUAACUAUAGCAACAGUCUUUCCCACACUCUAUUCAUUACCAAUGCAAAUUACUGGUAAGUUUGCUAGCAAAAAGUUGUAAAUCAAAGUACAACUAAUUUGUGUGCUAAUACCCACACCAGCAGUUAAGCGUCCAGGACUUUGUCUCUGUGUUCAGUGAUAUUUGCAGCCAUAAGCUGAGUAUAUAUAAGUACAGAUAUACAUUUAUUCAAAAGUAUGUUGAAUAUAUGUAUAUAUAUUUUAAUCUGUGUCUUACAAAUUAUUUAUGAACAAUAACUUGAUUGCAAAAAUUGAGUAUACUUUUCCCUGCGUUUCCUGUGCAAACUCCUUUUGUAGAGGAACUCUUAAAAAUUCUCUGUCAGAGAAUUCAGAGAAAACUCAUGAAUUAUUAAUGAGAGGAGUUUCGUCUAAUGGUUGCGGUCUCUCCUGCCAUUACUGUUCAUUUAGCUCUUAUUUUAUACAGCAUGUGUCAAAGGCCUGUACUCUGCACGGGGCGACAAAACACAUACCCUGUAUCCUCUGUUAUGAAAAGAAAAGAAAAAAAAAAGACAAAAGCACCUUUGCCACUGGUGGACUAAUACUUUCCUGUCAAAUUGCACUUAUUGCGAAUAUUCUCAAAGGUGAGCACAUGCUUGUUUAUUGACGAUGUCAGCAAUGCGCUUAAUCUGAAUAUAAGCCGACAGAGCAGUCGUGAUGUCAGUAAUGUCAGUGAAUAUGAAGGGCGGUUUAUGAAUGAGCAAUGACUCAGCUGGGGUGUGUUUACUCUGUCCUGGCCUUACAUAUAAGAGCAGGGACACCAAACAAACUUCACUACGCACCCUUGCUAAAUAAAGGCUUUGUAAAUCCCAGUUGAUGGAUGAAAGUAAAGGAUUUGCCCAUUUGACUGAGCUGAAAGCAUCUUCAAGAUCGUUAUGAAGGUCUGGUUUAAUAUCUUAUAGCUUAUUGAUGUGACCCUUUCUUCACUUGACCUUUUUUCUAAGACUGAUAUGAGAUCCCUCUUUAUAUUUUCGCUUGAUAAAAAUCAGUUUGAAAUAUGAUUUGUGAGCUGUGAUAUAAUUCUGUGUUAAAAAUGAAUAAAGAAUGUAUUUCCGUAAUUGUUGAAGUGUAAGAUUCAGCAAGCACUCACACACAGUUUGCUCAAAGUAAAAUAAUCAAAUAUGCGUAUGUUUUAGUUUUUACACAAAACGGAGAAAGAUCAGGAUUCAAAAUCUGGAUCAAAAAUGGAUAAACCAAUGGGUCAAGCAUUGGCUGAUUAGCAUAGUCUAGUUAGCCCCUGCUAGUAGAUAAUAAAACACCAUUAUGGAGGUAUAAUGCAUUUUUGACUGGCAUUUGACAUUGGCAUUUUUUUAACACUUAAAAGCAUGAAAUAGUCCAACUGCAGUGACUUCCUGAUUUUUUUUUUUCCUGAUCUUUUGCUUAUAUAGUGCAUUAAUACAAGUAAUCAGUUUUGAGUGUCUUUAUAGCCCCUUUCACACAGUAAUACCAGUAAAUUGCCGUAAAAUUACUGGAACAACUUUACCGGUAAAUAAAAAAAUGCGCUUUUCACACAGACAAUGGCGUUCAGUGUUUUUACCGGUAAAGCACCAUUCACACAUUGGUUUCAAAUUACCAGUUCUGUGACAUCAUUAACCAGAAAUGACCCAAACGGCUGCGCUUCCCGGUGUUGUGUUUGUAAACAUGGAAUGGUAUACGCCAGUUGUUCACAACCCUGGUCCCGGACUGGUGUGUCAGAGAAAGGAGACAUGCAAAAUGUGCAGUGUUGGGG